RNAcentral lists this ribosomal RNA (401 nucleotides) under uncultured bacterium. RNAcentral describes it as "bacterial SSU rRNA". It matches the Rfam family "Bacterial small subunit ribosomal RNA", at positions 29 to 457 of the family's 1533-position model. The record is from RNAcentral.
AGCGAACGCUGGCGGCAGGCUUAACACAUGCAAGUCGAGCGGGCGUAGCAAUACGUCAGCGGCAGACGGGUGAGUAACGCGUGGGAACAUACCUUUUGGUUCGGAACAACACAGGGAAACUUGUGCUAAUACCGGAUAAGCCCUUACGGGGAAGAUUUAUCGCCGAAAGAUUGGCCCGCGUCUGAUUAGCUAGUUGGUGAGGUAAUGGCUCACCAAGGCGACGAUCAGUAGCGGUCUGAGAGGAUGAUCAGCCACAUUGGGACUGAGACACGGCCCAAACUCCUACGGGAGGCAGCAGUGGGGAAUUUUGGACAAUGGGCGCAAGCCUGAUCCAGCCAUUCCGCGUGCAGGAUGAAGGCCCUCGGGUUGUAAACUGCUUUUGUACGGAACGAAACGCGUUG